AAAAAAAAAAAAAAAAAAAAAAAAUCGCGUCUUCUUCAUCCCCAUCGCAACUUCCAACUGUUCGUCUUCCGAAGCUCAAUUAAAAUCGAUCUUAUAAUUUCCUAGAUUCAAAUCUAAACCCUUUUCGUUCCUUUUUGUUUAUUUGUUAAUUUUGGAAAAUCAGUACCGUUAAGUUCGUUUUUUUCCCCUUUCCCCAAAGCAUUGAAACAUCUUCGUCUCUCUUUUUCUCGAUCGGUUGUGUAGCUACCAGUAUCACCCAAUUCACGGUCUGCUGUGAACCCACAAAAAGACGUUCAUAAUAACUCCUUCCCUUUUUGGAUCAAUUUAUAGAAAACCCUAUUGCAGAAUCUCAUGAUUUGUUGAGUUCUACAGUGAGAUGUCGGUAGAAAGAUCGUUUGAAGCAUGGGAGGAGGUGCAGCGCCAUGGCCAGGACCUCGCGGACCGGCUGGCCCAGGGAUUUACAGGGUUAUUACAAUCUCAUAUGACUAAUCCCCCUGCUUUUCCCUGGCCAAACUCUCAAAAAUCGAAGUUUUUUGAUCUAGAAUUUCCUGGCCCCAAAAUAGAAGCUUUUAAUUUCAGUAAUAGGGAUUUUGGAGUAUUAACCGAUAGUACUGGGAUAAAUGGAGUUUCUGCGAUUUUCGAUAUUGGAAACAGAAUUGGCCAAGCUGGGGCUGAUUUUGGCGCGGGCUUGAACGGGUUGGUGCAGCAGUUCUUUAGGAGCUUGCCACUGCCUUUUAAGCAGGAGGAGGGCGUCGGGAUGGAGGUUAGGAUGGAUAGUAAAAGGAGUGAUUUGGGGAGGGGUGUUGACGGGGAGUUGGGGUUAGUGAGUGAGAGGUUGAGGGAUUUUGGGUUUGUGGAGAAUGCUGCUGGUGAUGGCGGUGGUAGUAAGCUGGAGGGUUCUGCUGAUGAUGAAACUAGUGGGUUUAAUUUGAAGUCUGUGGGGCAUCUUGGUAAACCGCAGGGGGUUUUAAAUAUCACAUCAACUUAUGACAGUAGAACUCACAACAUAGACAGUUCUAUGGUUGCAAGGGGAGAUUUGUGGAGAGUCGAGGCAUCAAAUGGAGGCUCCACAUCUGGAAAUGAUAAUUCAUCUCUCUUCCUGUUCCAGCUUGGACCAGUCCUAUUUGUUCGCGAUUCAACACUUCUAUUGCCUGUUCAUUUAUCAAAGCAACACUUGCUUUGGUAUGGCUAUGAUAGGAAGAAUGGAAUGCAUUCUCUAUGUCCAGCUGUAUGGUCAAAGCAUAGAAGGUGGCUGUUAAUGUCAAUGCUCUGUCUCAAUCCUUUAGCUUGUUCAUUUGUGGAUCUGCAGUUUCCAAAUGGUCAGUUUACAUAUGUGUCUGGUGAGGGGCUGACUACAAGUGCUUUUCUACCUCUUUGUGGGGGGCUUCUCCAAGCUCAGGGGCGAUAUCCAGGGGAAAUGAGAUUUAGCUUCUCUCAUAAGAACAAGUGGGGUACACGCAUCACACCAAUGGUACAAUGGCCUGACAGAUCAUUUACAUUGGGCUUGGCACAAGCCUUAGCAUGGCAGAGAUCAGGUCUAAUGGUUAGACCGACAGUUCUGUUCAGUUUGUGCCCCACUUUUGGAGGAAGCAAUCCUGGUUUGCGAGCAGAACUUAUUCAUUCGGUGAAUGAGAAACUGAAUCUGAUCUGCGGCUGUGCAUUCAUGGCACAUCCUUCUAUAUUCGCAUCACUUUCUGUUGGACGGUCCAAGUGGAAUGGCAACAUUGGAAGCUCAGGACUCGUCAUUAGGGUUGAUACCCCACUCACUGAUGUUGGCCGACCAUCGUUCUCUGUUCAGAUAAAUAGUGGCAUCGAGUUUUGAAUGUGUAGCCAUGUGUAUAUAGACCCGGGCGUUUCACCAUAGGAUACCUCAUGUGAAUAUUUUGUGCUUCUUUCUAUCAAUUAUAUGCUUUCCCAUAUUUCUUUUUUCUCCUUUUUAAUUUCUAUUGAAGCUUUUUUGGCAGGUUGGGGCAAAUUGUAAAUUUUGAACUGGUCAAAGUUUGACAGUUCAAGCUUGAGAAAUAUCUACUUGUAUUGCACUAAUACGAACUAUGCUAUUGGAGCAUGUAAAUGAAAUGAUCUUAAUCCAAUCUAAUUAUAGGACAGGAUGCCAAAUGAUAGUUUGGGAUGCUAAUAAGCAUGAGAUUAAGAGUGACAAUUUUGCAAUGGCAUUACAUUUUCUUAUUCUGCAUCUGGAAUAGUCUUCUUGUUGCAUGGCUGGUGAUGGUGUGAGGAGAAGCGAAAGAGGAGAGAUUAAGAAGUUUUAGGUUAGUAUAAUUAAACUAUCAUUUUUAUUAUUUUUUCUUUUUCUAAUAUACUCUUGUAUCAGUACCCAUUAAAAUUAAAUGAUUCAUGUUAAGUUGUUUUUGGAA
This is a non-coding RNA of Jatropha curcas, 2372 nucleotides long. NCBI's taxonomy places the organism in Eukaryota, Viridiplantae, Streptophyta, Magnoliopsida, Malpighiales, Euphorbiaceae. The record is from RefSeq and is a predicted model, not a curated record.